GCGGCUGUGGCGGAACAGGCAGACGCGCUAUCUUGAGGGGGUAGUGGAGGUAACUCCGUGUGAGUUCAAGUCUCACCAGCCGCA
Molecule: non-coding RNA, 84 nt
Organism: Clostridiales bacterium
Lineage: Bacteria; Bacillati; Bacillota; Clostridia; Eubacteriales
Source: Rfam